Rhipicephalus microplus (southern cattle tick) is the source of this 477-nucleotide unclassified non-coding RNA. Lineage: Eukaryota; Metazoa; Arthropoda; Arachnida; Ixodida; Ixodidae. The record is from RefSeq and is a predicted model, not a curated record.
CAUGUUCGAGUGGCUCACCGUCGUCGUCAGUUUCCGUAUAGUUUGCAGUGGCAGUCGGCUUAGGGCAUUCACAUUCAGCAUCUGUCGUCAUGGGGCGUACUGCAGCUGGUACCGGUAGGCCCCCAGCUGAAGCACCCACCAUUGUAUCCGGGCAGCGGCCAUGGUGGGCGUCUGCCAGUCCUAGCAACAGACCUUGCAACGGCUGGUGGUCAGUCACCAAGAUUACCCUCCAUGCUCGAAACCUCCGAGGCAAAUUCGUACAACAGCUCUGUGCAGUAUUACUUGGUGUAGAGCAGACAGUCACACCACAAGCAUUCAUUGACUUUACAAGAACACCGUUGCAACACCAACCGAUUCAACUAUUCUUUCCACAGUAAAUCAGGUGCAGUGCCUUGCACGUGGGCCUGAAGAAGACACAUGUAUAUAUAUGACCAAGCGAAUAAAGAAGGGAGCACUUGUUUUCCUGUUCGUGCUCAA